Molecule: ribosomal RNA, 460 nt
Filed under: uncultured bacterium
Lineage: Bacteria
Description: partial 16S ribosomal RNA
Rfam family: Bacterial small subunit ribosomal RNA
Source: RNAcentral
CCUACGGGUGGCAGCAGUGAGGAAUAUUGGUCAAUGGCCGUAAGGCUGAACCAGCCAAGUAGCGUGAGGGAAGACUGCCCUAUGGGUUGUAAACCUCUUUUAUGCGGGGGUAACGGUGGCCACGUGUGGAUGUUUGCAGGUACCGCAUGAAUAAGGACCGGCUAAUUCCGGUCCAGCAUCCGCGGUAAUACGGAAGGUCCGGUCGUUAUCCGGAUUUAUUGGGUUUAAAGGGAGCUGAGGCCGGUCUUUAAGCGUGCCGUGAAAUUUUGUGGCUCAACCAUGAGAGUGCGGCGCGAACUGGCGACCUUGAGUGCGCGGAAGGCAGGCGGAAUUCGUGGUGUAGCGGUGAAAUGCUUAGAUAUCACGAAGAACCCCGAUUGCGAAGGCAGCAUGCCGGAGCGUUACUGACGCUGAAGCUCGAAAGCGUGGGUAUCGAACAGGAUUAGAUACCCGUGUAGUC